GUUGCGGUUAAAAAGCUCGUAGUUGGAUUUCGGCGAUCAGGGGCCGGUGAUAUAUUUGUAUCUACUGGCCCAUUUGGUCGUAUUUUUGAAAGAGGGUUUGGGGUCCCCUUCACUGGGUGUCCUAGGUCGCUUUCAGGUUUACUUUGAAAAAAUUAGAGUGCUCAAACCAGGCUUUAACGCUUGAAUAUUCGUGCAUGGAAUAAUAGAAUAGGAAGUUCGUUUCUAUUUUGUUGGUUUUAGGAUAACGACUUAAUGAUUAAUAGGGACAAUCGGGGGAAUUAGUAUUCAAACGACAGAGGUGAAAUUCUUGGACCGUUUGGAGACUAACUACUGCGAAAGCAUUUUCCAAGAGUGUUUUCAUUAAUCAAGAACGAAAGUUAGAGGUUCGAAGGCGAUCAGAUACCGCCCUAGUUCUAACCAUAAACGAUGCCAGCUAGCGAUCUCAGGGUGCGUAAUACUAAGGCCCCUGAGGGAGCUUCCGGGAAACCAAAGCUUGUGGGUUCCGGGGGAAGUAUGGUUGCAAAGCUGAAACUUAAAGGAAUUGACGGAAGGGCACCACCAGGAGUGGAGCCUGCGGCUUAAUUUGACUCAACACGGGAAAUCUCACCAGGCCCGGACACCGGAAGGAUUGACGGAUUGAGAGCUCUUUCUCGAUUCGGUGGGUGGUGGUGCAUGGCCGUUC
Molecule: ribosomal RNA, 682 nt
Filed under: uncultured eukaryote
Lineage: Eukaryota
Description: SSU rRNA
Rfam family: Eukaryotic small subunit ribosomal RNA
Source: RNAcentral